CAACAGAAAGCUUGGAAAAUAAAUGUUGUCCUUCCAAAAUCAGCUAUGAACUGAAGUGUUAUACCCCAUUUAAAGACAAUUUGCAGCUGACAUUUCGGUUGUUUGUGCUUGGAGCAGGAGGAUUUUUUAUUUUGGGGUGUCUACCAUUUUGUUGCUGUGCCUGUUUGCAGAGGAGUCAAUGCGUCAAUCCUUUACGAAGUGCAAGUAAAGAAGUAGAACAAAUCGUGCAGAAGAAAAGAGCACGUAGUGAAAAUAUUCAUGGGUUUUUAUCGAAUUUACUUAAGAAAAACUCCAAGGACCAUAAGAGCAAGAAAAAAGAGAAACAUGUAGCUGAUCUUGAAGACCUCAAGCAGGACAAGGACACCAGGAUUACCUGAAUAUGCGCUAGAAAAUGAGAUGUUUUUCCUAGUGUCAAACAAAUAUAACAUUGUGACCCUUUGAUAGUGCUGUUGAUUUUUACACUAAGAAGUUUGUCAUUCUUAGUUCUUCAUGCUCAUACCAUAUCUUCUGUAAAUAACUAGUAGUGCUAAAAGGCAGAAAUUGACUGUGGCAGUUUCUGAAUGCUGAAGCCAGUCUUCUGUUAUUAAUAUAGCAUCCCUGUGAAGGGCACAUAAGGAUACCAGUUAAGUGACUGUCCUAGUUAGUAGAUUGGUCUUAGAAUUUUGUUUGGAUUAAGAGAAGGUAGUUGUCACUCAUUAAAUCAGUAGCGAGUGGCAAGCUUACUUUGCUUCAGUAUUGGAUGGCUGAUGGUCAUUACAGAGAAAGAGUUGUGCUCUGGAGAAAGUUAGGCUUUCAUAUGGUGCUUCAAGAUUUUGAAAGGUAAUAAAUUCCUUUUAUUUACAUGUCAUUGAUAGCACAACUGCUUUCAAUAUUGCAUAACAUUCUGACAAAGGGAGACAUGCUGAUGAAACAACUGUAUAUAACAGUAAGCGAUCAAUGCAUCUGCAGUAACAGUGGCAGCACCAGACAAAAAUAAGCAUAAGCAAGAUAUAUGCACUGUAAGAGGGGAAGGGAGGACAAUAAGACACAGCAAGUCUUAUGUUACCCCUACUGGGGUAAUAGUCAGGAGCACAAUGCAUUGAGUAAGCCCUGCACCUGUUCCAUUUAGCAGCCUCAUUGUAAGGGUGUUCUGAAAAGUUAAAAUUUUUGCAUUUUGAUUGCAGAAGUCAAAAAACUCUCAUUUUAAACCUUAAGUUCUAUACUAAUUUGACAGUUCAUUGAAUCGAUAGCUGUCCAGUAUUGGUAUUGCAUAAUAACUGUUGGCUGUGCCAAAAAUGUCAUACUGUCUUUUUCAUUAUUAUUGAGAGUCAGGGUUGUCACCUUAAGGUCAUAUUGCUGAUAUUCACAGGCCUGAGAAUAACGGUAUCUCUAUUGACUUCAUCACAUAAAAGCAGAUGUUUUGAUCAGCUGCUUGCUUCCACUAGUCAAUGUUCAGCGAAUUAAAAGUUCAACUACUCUUAUUCUUGUAUAAUCUAUUUGAUUAUGAUUUUUAUCUCUUUGGUUUUGAUCUCCUCGACCCCAGUGAACUACAGAAAAAUUUCAGUGUGGGGUUACUCCAGACCUACCUGGAAGAUAUGUUUUCCAAAGUGCCUAAACUGCUGGUAUUUAUCUUGUGUACCAAGCUGCAUGUUUCUGAGCCAAACUCAGUUUCCCUUUGAAGAACUGAAUUAGGGACCAGGUCAGCUGGGAAAAGGCUAAGCAUCCCUACAAGGCCCCCAGGGCCCUCAGAGCCUUUGUGGUUAGUGACAGAAGCUGCCUUCCACUGCAUGCUGUUUCCCAGCCUAAUUUGUGGGCCAAGCCAGCAGAACAGACCUUCUACCUUCUGGUCCCAGAGAGAGACCUUCAGUACUAACAUCAGGAACCACAAGAUGGUGCUGCA
This is a non-coding RNA of Struthio camelus australis, 1879 nucleotides long. Lineage: Eukaryota; Metazoa; Chordata; Aves; Struthioniformes; Struthionidae. The record is from RefSeq and is a predicted model, not a curated record.